Molecule: long non-coding RNA, 1158 nt
Filed under: Homo sapiens (human)
Lineage: Eukaryota; Metazoa; Chordata; Mammalia; Primates; Hominidae
Description: non-protein coding lnc-STRN3-18:1
Source: RNAcentral
ACUCUCGGUAGAACUGGGAGACCCGGUGCAGGUUAAUUCAGUGGCCCGUAAUGUUAGGCGAAUACUAAGAGUUUUUAUCCUACCGAAUCAAGCCACACUCUCUCAAAUGGUAGCAACAUUAAAUUGAGCUGUUAGGGUAGGAGCGUGUAGUGCUAAGAACCUAAUUACUGAACUGUUGGUUUGGUGACUUACAGAGCACUUAAAGGGUGAUAAUGCUCUAGGAGUAUAAGGACCACAGGACUGAAGUAAAUGAAGCUCCUGAAACACAGGCAACAUUUUAACGUUAGCUCUCGUUUCUCAGUGCAGCAGGAGUCUUCCCUUUGCUCCUUUCUCCAGAGAAACGGAAAGCAUUGGAGCAUUACUCUGAUCUGGCAUAUUUCUCAGUCGCAUCUCUUUAAAAAAAAAGGUGUAGCUUUAUGGUGGCGUUCUGCCGGCAUGGACACGGGAUCCAGGGAGGUACAAAAUGAGAAAUUAGCAUUUCUCCUCUUUCCUUGUAGUAAUUGCAAAAUCACCUUGCCGUGGGAAGGAAGUCAAGCAGUAGUGGGGUGUGUUGCCUAGGCUGGAGCGCGCAAUCAGGGAUCACUGCAGCCUCAAAUUCUGACGGUCAAACGAUCCUCCUGCUUCAGUCUCCCAAGUAGCUAGGGACUACAGGGGCACACCAUCAGGCCAGGCUGAUGUGCUGGUUUUUGUUGUUGUUUUGUUUUUGAGAUAGUAUCUCACUGUCUGUCGCUCAGGCUGGAGUGCAGUGGCAGAAUCUCGGCUCACUGUAGUCUCGACCUCCCGGACUCAAGCGAUCCUCCCAAACUAUCCUUCCACCUCAGACUGCCCACUAGUUGGGACUAUAGGCAGGGGUCACCACGCCCGGCUAAAUUUUUUUUUUUUUUUUUUGUAGAGACGGGGAUUCACCAUGUUGGCCAGGCUGGUCUUGUGCUGGCGGUUUAAUGUACACUUGAAGCCACGUGACCGCAAAAUAUAUGGGAUAGAUGAUUUCUAACUUAAUCCAUAGAUUUUACUGUAUGACCAAAAUGGAUACACAAUGACACCUCAUUUCCCGAGUUCAUUGAUGACGCUUCAUUAUGAAGUUGCACCAAAUUCUGAAAUGAAAUCACUCUGUACCUCAAAAGCUUAACUUUCACAAUUAUAUAAAUGAAAUGGUUA